CUACCAUGGCAGUCACGGGUAACGGGGAAUUAGGGUUCGAUUCCGGAGAGGGAGCCUGAGAAACGGCUACCACAUCUAAGGAAGGCAGCAGGCGCGUAAAUUACCCAAUCCUGACUCAGGGAGGUAGUGACAAGAAAUAACAACUCGGGGCCUCACGGCUUACGAGAUUGCAAUGAGAACAAUUUAAACCACUUAUCUAGGAACAAUUGGAGGGCAAGUCUGGUGCCAGCAGCCGCGGUAAUUCCAGCUCCAAUAGCGUAUAUUAAUGUUGUUGCAGUUAAAAAGCUCGUAGUUGAAUUUCUGGUUAAAAUAUUAGCUGGCUUUGGUCGUUAAUAUUUUAAUCAUCCGUUAGAGAACUAUAGCCGUCCUUAAUUGGUCACUAUAGAGAUCUAACAUUUUACUUUGAAAAAAUUAGAGUGUUCAAGGCAGGCAAUCGUCAUGAAUACUAUAGCAUGGAAUAAUGGAAUAGGACUUUGGUUCAUUUUAUUGGUUAUUGAACCUUAGUAAUGAUUAACAGGGACAGUUGGGGGCAUUAGUAUUUAAUUGUCAGAGGUGAAAUUCUUGGAUUUAUUAAAGACUAACUUAUGCGAAAGCAUUUGCCAAGGAUGUUUUCAUUAAUCAA
This 622-nucleotide ribosomal RNA is filed under the name Ciliophora sp. Its description in RNAcentral is "SSU rRNA". It matches the Rfam family "Eukaryotic small subunit ribosomal RNA", at positions 341 to 980 of the family's 1831-position model. Lineage: Eukaryota; Ciliophora. The record is from RNAcentral.